AUCCAGCUGAUGAGUCCCAAAUAGGACGGAACGCGUGUUCUGUAU
Molecule: non-coding RNA, 45 nt
Filed under: Schistosoma bovis
Lineage: Eukaryota; Metazoa; Platyhelminthes; Trematoda; Strigeidida; Schistosomatidae
Also listed under: 1 other name
Source: RNAcentral